CCUACGGGGUGCAGCAGUGGGGAAUAUUGGACAAUGGGCGAAAGCCUGAUCCAGCCAUGCCGCGUGUGUGAAGAUGGCCUUCGGGUUGUAAAGCACUUUCAGUGGGGAAGAAAGCCUUGGGGCUAAUACCCUCGAGGAAGGACAUCACCCACAGAAGAAGCACCGGCUAACUCCGUGCCAGCAGCCGCGGUAAUACGGAGGGUGCGAGCGUUAAUCGGAAUUACUGGGCGUAAAGCGCGCGUAGGCGGUCUGAUAAGCCGGUUGUGAAAGCCCCGGGCUCAACCUGGGAACGGCAUCCGGAACUGUCAGGCUAGAGUGCAGGAGAGGAAGGUAGAAUUCCCGGUGUAGCGGUGAAAUGCGUAGAGAUCGGGAGGAAUACCAGUGGCGAAGGCGGCCUUCUGGACUGACACUGACGCUGAGGUGCGAAAGCGUGGGUAGCAAACAGGAUUAGAUACCCCAGUAGUC
Molecule: ribosomal RNA, 465 nt
Filed under: Vreelandella stevensii
Lineage: Bacteria; Pseudomonadati; Pseudomonadota; Gammaproteobacteria; Oceanospirillales; Halomonadaceae
Description: partial 16S ribosomal RNA
Rfam family: Bacterial small subunit ribosomal RNA
Source: RNAcentral